CUCAGGAUGAACGCUAGCGGCAGGCUUAACACAUGCAAGUCGAGGGGUAUANUUCUUCGGACAUAGAGACCGGCGCACGGGUGCGUAACGCGUAUGCAAUCUACCUUUUACAGAGGGAUAGCCCAGAGAAAUUUGGAUUAAUACCUCAUAGUAUAGCUGUACCGCAUGGUACUACUAUUAAAGUCACAACGGUAAAAGAUGAGCAUGCGUCCCAUUAGCUAGUUGGUAAGGUAACGGCUUACCAAGGCUACGAUGGGUAGGGGUCCUGAGAGGGAGAUCCCCCACACUGGUACUGAGACACGGACCAGACUCCUACGGGAGGCAGCAGUGAGGAAUAUUGGACAAUGGGCGCAAGCCUGAUCCAGCCAUGCCGCGUGCAGGAUGACGGUCCUAUGGAUUGUAAACUGCUUUUAUACGAGAAGAAACACUACUUCGUGAAGUAGCUUGACGGUAUCGUAAGAAUAAGGAUC
Molecule: ribosomal RNA, 470 nt
Filed under: Flavobacteriaceae bacterium JJ-2044
Lineage: Bacteria; Pseudomonadati; Bacteroidota; Flavobacteriia; Flavobacteriales; Flavobacteriaceae
Description: bacterial SSU rRNA
Rfam family: Bacterial small subunit ribosomal RNA
Source: RNAcentral